Long non-coding RNA from Nelumbo nucifera (sacred lotus), 671 nucleotides. RefSeq lists it as uncharacterized. NCBI's taxonomy places the organism in Eukaryota, Viridiplantae, Streptophyta, Magnoliopsida, Proteales, Nelumbonaceae. The record is from RefSeq and is a predicted model, not a curated record.
CCUCUCCUCUUCCACCUAACACUGUCACCUCCGCCCACCUCCGCCUCUGCCCAACGCCUCCCUUCGCUACUCUUCCAGUACACCCACAUAGUCGUCUUAGUAGAAUACAACGUACCCAACGUCGUCAACUUGACAUUGUUAGUGUUGGGGUUUGCAAAUUUGGUGGCCAACGGGAUAUCGAUGGGAUUCGCAGAUUAUAUCGAUUGGCACCAAGAAGGACGCUAUUGAAGAGGAGAGGUUGGUUACAGAGUGAGAUGUAAAUAACCAUGGCCGGCAGCAGCAGAUGGAACUGAUGCAGAAGUAUCAACAACUUGGGAUGAGCCUCGAAGAUGCCACCACUGUGACUCUGUGGUGAACGUGUUUUCCAAGUACAAAGAUAUAUUGAUCGACGAGAAGAUGACAACCCAAAAAGGAAUGCAAUCACUGGACAAUGAGGAAAAGGCAUGGCAGAACGGGGUUGUGACAUUGGCAGCGUUCCUUGCAUUUGGUUGUGCCCCUCAGCUUCCUUUCGUCGUGGGCGGAGGCGGAAGAGUAGUGAGUUUUCAACGUUUUGCACCUCCGUCCACCUCUCGCUUGCGCCUCUGCCCAAUACCGCCACUUCUGCCCUACGGUGGCGUUGCCGGAGGUGAGUGGAGGAGUGCCAAAGGCGGCAGCGGGCGACAAUAAGCUAC